This 428-nucleotide ribosomal RNA is filed under the name uncultured Gram-positive bacterium. RNAcentral's name for it is "bacterial SSU rRNA". It matches the Rfam family "Bacterial small subunit ribosomal RNA", at positions 661 to 1088 of the family's 1533-position model. The record is from RNAcentral.
AGGGAAUUCCUGGUGUAGCGGUGAAAUGCGUAGAGAUCAGGAAGAACAUCGGUGGCGAAGGCGCUCUGCUGGACCAUAACUGACACUCAGGGACGAAAGCUAGGGGAGCGAAUGGGAUUAGAUACCCUGGUAGUCCACGCCGUAAACGAUGAUAACUAGCUGUCCGGGGACUUGGUCUUUGGGUGGCGCAGCUAACGCAUUAAGUUAUCCGCCUGGGGAGUACGGCCGCAAGGUUAAAACUCAAAUGAAUUGACGGGGGCCUGCACAAGCGGUGGAGCAUGUGGUUUAAUUCGAAGCAACGCGAAGAACCUUACCAGGUCUUGACAUCUUUUGAUCACCUGAGAGAUCAGGUUUCCCCUUCGGGGGCAAAAUGACAGGUGGUGCAUGGUUGUCGUCAGCUCGUGUCGUGAGAUGUUGGGUUAAGUCCC